UUUAGGCUAAGGUGUUAUUGUUCAUGCACAAGUUAUUAUUAUCAUUAUCCUUUUAUGCCACUUUUUUAUUCUUAUUUCUUUAUAGAGUUCUUUCUUUUUUGAAUAUUAAUUACCUGCUAUGGGUUUGAUGACUCCAUUCUUAUUUGUUUUUGGAGCUUUAAGAAGAAGUUGUUUAGGAGUUUAGAGAAAGCUUUGGUAAUAGAGAAGAAAGAUUGCAUGUUUGAUAAUGUAUUUGAUGAUGGUGAUGAUGCGAAGAAUGUUAAUGUUACUCUUUUGACCAAAGAAAGAUAUCAGAUGAUGAUGAUAAAGGAACAAAGUAAAAGCAAAGCACACAAUGUAGAAAAGUUGUCCCCUUUGAUAGUAAUUGUUGUUGUUCCUUGUGUUUGUCAAUGAAAGAGAAAGAUUAAGAGAGAUUCCUAAUGUAAUGCCCAUCUUCUUUUCCUUUUCCUUUCCCUUUCCCACACGUUUCUUGUCCCGUGAAUGUGAACGUGAUGUAUCUGGUCAAUCUCUAUUUUCUCUUUUGAAUUCUCUUGAGGGUACUUUCAAAUGCCAAUGUACAUCCCAAAUACCCACAGAAGAAAAGGCAACAUGGGACUAGAUGCGGGUAGUGGUGGGCUAGUUUUAGAUCUGGAAACAGCAGUUAAAGAUGGCAUUUCGAGUGGCAGGGGCGAUGGCGGCUAGAUUUUUUACAAUUCCAAGAAGGUUAAGGGUCAAGGUAGAGUUCAAGGAUUAAAAGAGCUUAGGCGGCUGGUUACUGCACAUUCCACUGCCACUGCCAAGAAGGCAGUGUUAGAUCAUGGUGGAGUUGCCUUGGUUUCAUCCUCAUUGGGUUCUUUUCUUACUGCUCGCGCAGUUGGGUCUAAGGUAAUUGCAUAUUUUCGUGAAUUUGGAUGUUUAUUUCACAUCCAAAGAAAUGUCAUUAGUAGUUGAUACGCUAAACGAGGGUUUGAUUGAGACCAAGAUUGUAUAGUUCUAAAUCACAUCCUUACUAUCUUCAUUUCCAAGCAUAAGCUUACCAAAACAAUAAAAUGAAGAGAAAAUACUUAUAUAUAUCAUCUGUUUUUUUCCAUGCCUCUGAAGGCAACUGGAUUCUUAAGGUGUCCUUUUUAUCUCCUUGAGAAUAUCAAACUUCUUCUGAUACACUCCAUCGGUUUCACUUGAUAGAAGCUUCAAGAUAUGGAUUUAGGCUACCUGCAGAUUGUGUAAUUAUCUGUUAAUCCAGGGUUUAUAAAGUCGGUGACAGUUUUUUUAUUGCAUUGCCCUGCUUCUGCUUGCCAUGGAGGUGUCAGUUUGGUCUAUGCUCACAACGAGGGAAUGUUUGUUUUCCCUCCUUAUGUUUAAACGGUUCUUUGGGGAGGGAUUAUAUUUUUUCAUUCAAUCUUUUCAGGUCCAGCAUUAUAGAGCUGUAGAUUUGUACGAACUAUUUGAAUUUUUUUUUUUUGGUGGCUAUCAAUGAACAAAACCUUGUAGGCUUA
Long non-coding RNA from Ricinus communis (castor bean), 1475 nucleotides. RefSeq lists it as uncharacterized. The transcript is spliced from 2 exons. The record is from RefSeq and is a predicted model, not a curated record. NCBI's taxonomy places the organism in Eukaryota, Viridiplantae, Streptophyta, Magnoliopsida, Malpighiales, Euphorbiaceae.